Molecule: ribosomal RNA, 2049 nt
Filed under: Klebsiella quasipneumoniae
Lineage: Bacteria; Pseudomonadati; Pseudomonadota; Gammaproteobacteria; Enterobacterales; Enterobacteriaceae
Description: 23S ribosomal RNA
Rfam family: Bacterial large subunit ribosomal RNA
Source: RNAcentral
UCAUCUUCGGGGGUAGAGCACUGUUUCGGCUAGGGGGUCAUCCCGACUUACCAACCCGAUGCAAACUACGAAUACCGAAGAAUGUUAUCACGGGAGACACACGGCGGGUGCUAACGUCCGUCGUGAAGAGGGAAACAACCCAGACCGCCAGCUAAGGUCCCAAAGUCAUGGUUAAGUGGGAAACGAUGUGGGAAGGCACAGACAGCCAGGAUGUUGGCUUAGAAGCAGCCAUCAUUUAAAGAAAGCGUAAUAGCUCACUGGUCGAGUCGGCCUGCGCGGAAGAUGUAACGGGGCUAAACCAUGCACCGAAGCUGCGGCAGCGACACGAUGUGUUGUUGGGUAGGGGAGCGUUCUGUAAGCCUGCGAAGGUGGCCUGUGAGGGUUGCUGGAGGUAUCAGAAGUGCGAAUGCUGACAUAAGUAACGAUAAAGCGGGUGAAAAGCCCGCUCGCCGGAAGACCAAGGGUUCCUGUCCAACGUUAAUCGGGGCAGGGUGAGUCGACCCCUAAGGCGAGGCCGAAAGGCGUAGUCGAUGGGAAACAGGUUAAUAUUCCUGUACUUGGUGUUACUGCGAAGGGGGGACGGAGAAGGCUAUGUUAGCCGGGCGACGGUUGUCCCGGUUUAAGCAUGUAGGCUGGUUAUCCAGGCAAAUCCGGAUAAUCAAGGCUGAGGUGUGAUGACGAGGCACUACGGUGCUGAAGUAACAAAUGCCCUGCUUCCAGGAAAAGCCUCUAAGCAUCAGGUAACAUCAAAUCGUACCCCAAACCGACACAGGUGGUCAGGUAGAGAAUACCAAGGCGCUUGAGAGAACUCGGGUGAAGGAACUAGGCAAAAUGGUGCCGUAACUUCGGGAGAAGGCACGCUGGUGUGUAGGUGAAGNUGGAGCUGAGACCAGUCGAAGAUACCAGCUGGCUGCAACUGUUUAUUAAAAACACAGCACUGUGCAAACACGAAAGUGGACGUAUACGGUGUGACGCCUGCCCGGUGCCGGAAGGUUAAUUGAUGGGGUUAUCCGUAAGGAGAAGCUCUUGAUCGAAGCCCCGGUAAACGGCGGCCGUAACUAUAACGGUCCUAAGGUAGCGAAAUUCCUUGUCGGGUAAGUUCCGACCUGCACGAAUGGCGUAAUGAUGGCCAGGCUGUCUCCACCCGAGACUCAGUGAAAUUGAACUCGCUGUGAAGAUGCAGUGUACCCGCGGCAAGACGGAAAGACCCCGUGAACCUUUACUAUAGCUUGACACUGAACAUUGAGCCUUGAUGUGUAGGAUAGGUGGGAGGCUUUGAAGCGUGGACGCCAGUCUGCGUGGAGCCAACCUUGAAAUACCACCCUUUAAUGUUUGAUGUUCUAACGUUGGCCCCUUACCGGGGUUGCGGACAGUGUCUGGUGGGUAGUUUGACUGGGGCGGUCUCCUCCCAAAGCGUAACGGAGGAGCACGAAGGUUAGCUAAUCCUGGUCGGACAUCAGGAGGUUAGUGCAAUGGCAUAAGCUAGCUUGACUGCGAGCGUGACGGCGCGAGCAGGUGCGAAAGCAGGUCAUAGUGAUCCGGUGGUUCUGAAUGGAAGGGCCAUCGCUCAACGGAUAAAAGGUACUCCGGGGAUAACAGGCUGAUACCGCCCAAGAGUUCAUAUCGACGGCGGUGUUUGGCACCUCGAUGUCGGCUCAUCACAUCCUGGGGCUGAAGUAGGUCCCAAGGGUAUGGCUGUUCGCCAUUUAAAGUGGUACGCGAGCUGGGUUUAGAACGUCGUGAGACAGUUCGGUCCCUAUCUGCCGUGGGCGCUGGAGAAUUGAGGGGGGCUGCUCCUAGUACGAGAGGACCGGAGUGGACGCAUCACUGGUGUUCGGGUUGUCAUGCCAAUGGCACUGCCCGGUAGCUAAAUGCGGAAGAGAUAAGUGCUGAAAGCAUCUAAGCACGAAACUUGCCCCGAGAUGAGUUCUCCCUGAGACUNUAAGUCUCCUGAAGGAACGUUGAAGACGACGACGUUGAUAGGCCGGGUGUGUAAGCGCAGCGAUGCGUUGAGCUAACCGGUACUAAUGAACCGUGAGGCUUAACCUU